Molecule: transfer RNA, 72 nt
Filed under: Richelia sp. RM2_1_2
Lineage: Bacteria; Bacillati; Cyanobacteriota; Cyanophyceae; Nostocales; Nostocaceae
Description: tRNA-Gly
Rfam family: tRNA
About the family: Transfer RNA (tRNA) molecules are approximately 80 nucleotides in length.
Source: RNAcentral
GCAGAUGUGGUGCUAGUGGUAACACAACUCCUUGCCAAGGAGUGGUCGAGAGUUCGAUUCUCUUCAUCUGCU